UUCCAUCUGGUUUUGAUAUUUAUUUCUUGGUUAACACUUGACAGCUUAUUAGAAACAAUAGAUUACAUUCUUGAAGGCACCCAGAACUUGAUCAUACCAAUACAGAGUAAUACAAGCACCAAUUCUAGAAAAAGGGUCCUAGAUAUACCAUCCUCGUUCUGCUGGCUAACACAUGAAGAAGACGUUGUGUCGGCGUCUUCUCCCCUAUCCCGACCUUCACAAUUGAAUCACUUAACAUGAUUAAUAUGGACAUCAUGACAGAUUCCGGUAGCAUCAAAUCUCUUGAAAUGUGGAUUGAUUAGGGGUAACAUCAAAUCUCUUGGAACGUGGAUUGAUUAGAGUUUUUUACUCCUUUGACCUUCAUUUAUUGGUUUGCAAGAGGUGUUGUAGACAAAUUUCAUUCAGAGAAUAUGACUGCUAUAACUUCCUUCCAUGUAUGUGUUCUUGGAGGAAAUAUAUUGUCUUCUUCAGGCAAUCCAGUAUCAUUAUUUAUCAUUUGCAGGUCACCGUUGUCAUCUGGAUUAGAUGACGAAGUGCCCAACAGCUUUCAAUGUUAUGACCCCGAGUAUUGGAGUGAUAUUGAC
RNAcentral lists this long non-coding RNA (584 nucleotides) under Panax ginseng (ginseng). RNAcentral describes it as "long non-coding RNA (PGIN_LNC018632)". Lineage: Eukaryota; Viridiplantae; Streptophyta; Magnoliopsida; Apiales; Araliaceae. The record is from RNAcentral.